GAUGAACGCUGGCGGCGUGCCUAAUACAUGCAAGUCGAGCGAACAGACGAGGAGCUUGCUCCUCUGACGUUAGCGGCGGACGGGUGAGUAACACGUGGAUAACCUACCUAUAAGACUGGGAUAACUUCGGGAAACCGGAGCUAAUACCGGAUAAUAUAUUGAACCGCAUGGUUCAAUAGUGAAAGACGGUUUUGCUGUCACUUAUAGAUGGAUCCGCGCCGCAUUAGCUAGUUGGUAAGGUAACGGCUUACCAAGGCAACGAUGCGUAGCCGACCUGAGAGGGUGAUCGGCCACACUGGAACUGAGAAACGGUCCAGACUCCUACGGGAGGCAGCAGUAGGGAAUCUUCCGCAAUGGGCGAAAGCCUGACGGAGCAACGCCGCGUGAGUGAUGAAGGUCUUCGGAUCGUAAAACUCUGUUAUUAGGGAAGAACAAAUGUGUAAGUAACUAUACACGUCUUGACGGUACCUAAUCAGAAAGCCACGGCUAACUACGUG
Molecule: ribosomal RNA, 497 nt
Filed under: uncultured bacterium
Lineage: Bacteria
Description: partial 16S ribosomal RNA
Rfam family: Bacterial small subunit ribosomal RNA
Source: RNAcentral